RNAcentral lists this ribosomal RNA (374 nucleotides) under Listeria monocytogenes. RNAcentral describes it as "bacterial LSU rRNA". It matches the Rfam family "Bacterial large subunit ribosomal RNA", at positions 978 to 1352 of the family's 2925-position model. Lineage: Bacteria; Bacillati; Bacillota; Bacilli; Caryophanales; Listeriaceae. The record is from RNAcentral.
CGGGAGUCAGACUGCGAGUGAUAAGAUCCGUAGUCGAAAGGGAAACAGCCCAGACCACCAGUUAAGGUCCCCAAAUAUAUGUUAAGUGGAAAAGGAUGUGGGGUUGCUUAGACAACCAGGAUGUUGGCUUAGAAGCAGCCACCAUUGAAAGAGUGCGUAAUAGCUCACUGGUCGAGUGACCCCGCGCCGAAAAUGUACCGGGGCUAAACAUAUUACCGAAACUGUGGAUGAACCUCUUUAGAGGUUCGUGGUAGGAGAGCGUUCUAAGGGCGGUGAAGUCAGACCGGAAGGACUGGUGGAGCGCUUAGAAGUGAGAAUGCCGGUAUGAGUAGCGAAAGAAGGGUGAGAAUCCCUUCCACCGAAUAUCUAAGGUU